This 1161-nucleotide long non-coding RNA is filed under the name Capra hircus (goat). RNAcentral describes it as "lncRNA (ENSCHIG00010007081.1)". Lineage: Eukaryota; Metazoa; Chordata; Mammalia; Artiodactyla; Bovidae. The record is from RNAcentral.
UCGAUCCCUAGGUUGGGAAGAUCCCCUGGAGAAGGAAAAGGCUACCCACUUCACUAUUCUGGCCUGGAGAAUUCCAUGGACUAAGUCCAUGGGGUCGUAAAGAGUCAGAUAUGACUGAGUGACUUUCACUUUUCAGUACUGUAUUAGUGUUCUCCAAAGAACAGAGUAGUAGAAUUAAUACGAUAUAUAUAUUAGUUAAUGUACAUACAUGCAUGCUAUGUUGCUUCAGUUGUAUCUGAUUUUGCAACCCUAUGGACUGUCACCAGUCUCCUCUGUCCAUGGGAUUCUUCAUAAUUAUGUAUACAUAUAUAUAUAAAUGCAUAUAUAUAUGUGUGUGUAUAAUAUUUAUCAAGAUGAAUUAACUCACUUAAUCAAGGAGCCUUAGAUGUUCCAUUAUCUGCCCAAGGCAAACUGGAGACACGGGAAAGUUGGUGGCUGGUGCAAUUUGGUUCAAGUCUAAAGGCUUGAGACCAGGGUAGCCACUGGUGUAAGUCCUCUUCCAGGGAGAGAAGAAAAUCUAUCUAUCUCCUAGCUCAAAGUAGACAGGAAGAUGCAAAAACAGUGAAUUCUUCCUUCUUCCAUAUUUUUCUUCUUUAUAGGCCCUCAACAAAUUUUUUGAUGCCUACUUAAUUUAGGGAAAGUUAACUUCUGCGUCCAUACAUCAAAUUCUAAUCUUAUCUAGAAACAGCACCCACACAGACAUACCCAGAAAGAAUGUCUAAUCUAGGCAACCAGCAACCAGUCAAUAUGACACACAAAAUUCACCAUCAACUAUUUUCCUGCUUCAUUUUGAAGCAGCUUCAUCUGAAGCUAUUUGAGAACAGCUUCUAAGAGAAGAGCUGAGAGGAAUUAAAUACACUCACUGACCCAAGGAGGCUAAGACAUAAAAGCCUUGUCUUUUCUGAGGGGCCCUAUGUGGUCUAUAGUUUCUCUCCUCCUUUCCUGUCCAAACUCCACCCCCUAGAAUUUAACUUUCAUUUCCCCUCAUCUUCUACUUCGGAUCAUCAUAGUGGAGGUCAGGCCUCUGGUAUGGGGAAACUCCAGGAAUCUUUGGAGAGACUAAAGGGGGAACAGCAGAAAGUUGAGAUGCUGGAAGAUGAAAUUCAAGAAGAGAUUUCUACCUGGAAGAAUCAAAUACAGCAUGAAAGAGAAAAUAUUUAG